AUACCAGCCCCGCAGCGGUGGCUUCCUUAUCUCGGAGAGGAAACCGAGGACUGGAAAGGGCCUUUAAGUGGCUUAGGGGCGUGGGGGAGACAGCGUGGCUUCCUCCACACCGAUGCGUGGUCACCACAGACCUCUCCGGGACACGCACGUGGGUCAGGCCCCGGUCACUUGACGACAGGGCCUCAUCGCUUCGGACAGUUGGGGUCCGGCUCACCCUUCUCCACGACCCCUCACUCCGCCCCAGAGCCAGAUCGCCCCGCCCCGCGGCCGCCUAACGAGGCCCAUCCGGACCUCCGCCUGACCCAUUCGCCACGCCCCACUCCCUGCCUGCCCAGCCACACGACCGGAUAAGUCCCGCCCCACGGCCAAUUCGCCCCUCCCCACGGCCAGUUCACCCGCCCCACGGCCAGCGCGCCCUGUCUCAAGGCCAGUUCGCUCCCACGUGCUUCUAACCCUCCCGGACUUCAAGAGGAAGGACCCGCAGCUGGCAUCUCCCCGACUAAGUACGUGCACCAGCUCACUCGAGGGUGUAUCUCUUUCUUUUGCGACAGAGUCCGACGACGUAACUGAUGCCCUUCAGCUUCGCGAUCCUUCUGCAUCGGCCUCGCGGUCGCUGGGGUUACGGGCACGCGUCACCACGCUCUACAAGGCUGGAUUCUUAAAAACCAGCUGUGUGAGAGUUUUCCACUCCAAAAGGAGGGUUAAAGGCCAUUGUUGCUAAAAUCCACCUCCACCGGUAUCUUAAAAUAAUACAGUAACCCAGAAAAGAAAAGGGGAAGGAGAAGGGUUUGAGAGAGGCAAGGGUUGCCAGCCCAAAUAAAGCAGAAAUGCAGAAA
Molecule: long non-coding RNA, 836 nt
Organism: Meriones unguiculatus (Mongolian gerbil)
Lineage: Eukaryota; Metazoa; Chordata; Mammalia; Rodentia; Muridae
Exons: 2
Source: RefSeq, a predicted model, not a curated record